Molecule: ribosomal RNA, 110 nt
Filed under: Xenophysella stewartensis
Lineage: Eukaryota; Metazoa; Arthropoda; Insecta; Hemiptera; Peloridiidae
Also listed under: 1 other name
Description: partial 28S ribosomal RNA
Source: RNAcentral
ACAGCCGUUGCACACGAGUCAGUCGAUCCUAAGCCCUAGGAGAAAUCCUAUGUAGAUGGUUCGGUGUUCUCAAAAGCAUGACCGACCGUCGGGCGAAAGGGAAUCCGGUU